GGGGUUAUAGCUUCGUGGUAGAGUGCUUGCCUACCAUACAGGGGGGCCUGGGUUCAAUCCCCAGUACUUUA
RNAcentral lists this transfer RNA (71 nucleotides) under Heterocephalus glaber (naked mole-rat). It matches the Rfam family "tRNA". Rfam says of the family: Transfer RNA (tRNA) molecules are approximately 80 nucleotides in length. Their secondary structure includes four short double-helical elements and three loops (D, anti-codon, and T loops). The record is from Rfam by way of RNAcentral. Lineage: Eukaryota; Metazoa; Chordata; Mammalia; Rodentia; Bathyergidae.